AGAGUUUGAUCCUGGCUCAGGACGAACGCUGGCGGCGUGCCUAACACAUGCAAGUCGAGCGGGGUUACUGGGGUUCAGCUUGCUGAACGCCACUGACCCAGCGGCGGACGGGUGAGUAACGCGUGAGCAAUCUGCCUCAUACAGGGGGAUAACAGGCGGAAACGCCUGCUAAUACCGCAUAAGACCACGCCACCGCAUGGUGGAGUGGUCAAAGGGUGCACAGACGAGAGGCUGUGCAUACCGGUAUGAGAUGAGCUCGCGUCCCAUUAGCUUGUUGGUGAGGUAACGGCUCACCAAGGCGACGAUGGGUAGCCGACCUGAGAGGGUGAUCGGCCACACUGGGACUGAGACACGGCCCAGACUCCUACGGGAGGCAGCAGUGGGGAAUAUUGCGCAAUGGGGGGAACCCUGACGCAGCAACGCCGCGUGAGCGAAGAAGGCCUUCGGGUCGUAAAGCUCUGUCAUAGGGGAAGAGGAGAAGACGGUACCCUAUGAGGAAGCCCCGGCUAACUACGUGCCAGCAGCCGCGGUA
This 532-nucleotide ribosomal RNA is filed under the name uncultured bacterium. RNAcentral describes it as "bacterial SSU rRNA". It matches the Rfam family "Bacterial small subunit ribosomal RNA", at positions 8 to 522 of the family's 1533-position model. The record is from RNAcentral.